UGCCAUUCAAUGUUUCAACGGCAACCGUAAGUCGAGUGGCAAGCGCGGACAGGCGGCAUGACGAAGCGUAAGAAAAGGCACUCAUAAUUCUAGCGACGAGCAACGAUCGUCCAUCCCCCUUGCGCUUCGCCUGUGACGUGCGUAAUCGAGCUCGAUCGAGGGGACGCUUUGCGCAAAGGAGGCGCAGAACAGGGAAGCUCAAUUGUGCAAAAGACUCGCGGCCGCACUCAGUACGCGUUCGAUUAUCGCACCGAGUGAAGCGUCGCACAACGUUCACAACUUGCGCGUCGUGUGGUUUUGGGCGAUUCCAUUCGUCGGUGACACGAAACGUGCUCUGUUUGUAACUGUCUGUUGAUAUUAGAGUAUCCUGAACACAGUAGAACAAUGGCCACGAUUGGAAGCCAAAUCGUGCUAGUGCUGUUUUGUUUCGUGCUGGGGAAUUUCGUACUGUUUCACGAUCGUGAGCGGAUCGUUCUCGCGCAGUACAUCGAAGAUGAAACGUCAUUACGCGGGCUCGACUUUCUUGGUGAUUCGCCCAAAGGACUUUUUGGACGAUGGCACUCCGAGAAGCAAUAUUUGAGACGCUUGCAUCUCGAUCGUACGGGCGAAUGAUCGAUGACCUUGAAAUGCAACCGUCUCUCUAGUGCUUCUAUCAAUCGAAAGCAGGUUUAUCGAAUACUCAGGACAAUUGAAAUUCGAUCCCAAUGGAUGCCACAACACAUGUAUGAGACUGAGCUGAUGAUUUCAGAACCAAGGCGGGAUGAAUUAUCUUAGGACAAAGCCAUCCAGGAGUGUUGCAAGUUAUCAACGAAAGAAAUUAAAUAUAAUUAGUUUUAGGUUGUACUGUCGAAGUUUGUGUGCUAUAUGAUGAAGAUAUGAAUAUUGUUUAAAACUCAUUAUUAA
Anopheles coluzzii is the source of this 903-nucleotide long non-coding RNA. RefSeq lists it as uncharacterized. NCBI's taxonomy places the organism in Eukaryota, Metazoa, Arthropoda, Insecta, Diptera, Culicidae. The record is from RefSeq and is a predicted model, not a curated record. The transcript has 3 exons.